This 507-nucleotide ribosomal RNA is filed under the name uncultured bacterium. RNAcentral's name for it is "bacterial SSU rRNA". It matches the Rfam family "Bacterial small subunit ribosomal RNA", at positions 19 to 518 of the family's 1533-position model. The record is from RNAcentral.
CUGGCUCAGGAUGAACGCUAGCGAUAGGCCUAACACAUGCAAGUCGAGGGGCAGCACAUGAGUAGCAAUACGAUGGUGGCGACCGGCGCACGGGUGAGUAACACGUAUGCAACCUACCUUUAACAGGGGAAUAACCGUUGAAAAACGGACUAAUACUCCAUAACACAGGGGUCCCGCAUGGGAAUAUCUGUUAAAGAUUAAUCGGUUGAAGAUGGGCAUGCGUUCCAUUAGCUUGUUGGUGAGGUAACGGCUCACCAAGGCCACGAUGGAUAGGGGAACUGAGAGGUUUAUCCCCCACACUGGAACUGAGACACGGUCCAGACUCCUACGGGAGGCAGCAGUGAGGAAUAUUGGUCAAUGGAGGCAACUCUGAACCAGCCAAGUCGCGUGAAGGAUGAAGGUCUUAUGGAUUGUAAACUUCUUUUGCAAGGGAAUAAAGUGGGGGACGUGUCCUCCUUUGCAUGUACCUUGCGAAUAAGGAUCGGCUAACUCCGUGCCAGCCGCCGC